RNAcentral lists this long non-coding RNA (1293 nucleotides) under Marmota monax (woodchuck). The record is from RNAcentral. Lineage: Eukaryota; Metazoa; Chordata; Mammalia; Rodentia; Sciuridae.
CAUGAGUCUACAUUUCCAUCUACUGUGCAAGAGAGUGAUUAUAGACAUUCUGUCCAUUACUGUGUAUUACUGAACUAUUUAAUCUCUUUCAAUCUAGCAAAUUAUAUAUUUGCUAGAUUAAAAGAGACAUUUCCUAUGCAGUAUAUAUAUAAGAAAAUGGUCUUAUAUAUUUUAUAUAUCAGCAAUAAUAGUAACCCUCAUAUAGCACUUACUAUGUACUAGCUGUUGUUCCAAGAGCUUUACAUAUAUGAACUAAUUUAAUAUAUAAUAGUUUCAUAUACUAAAACAUAAUUCAUACAUUCAAUUCAUCCAUUUAAAUUAUACAAUCAAGUGGUUUUUGUUAUAUUCUCGGGAUGUGCAGCCAUCAGUAAUUUGGAACACUUUAGUCACCCCCAGAGAAGCUCUAUAGCAUAGCUGUCACUCCAAACCACCCAUGCACUUCAACCCUGCAGCCAUAAUCUGCUUUCUGUCUCUGCAGAUUUGCCUAUUCUAGACAUUUUCUAUGCAAGAAUCAUAUAACGUGUGGUUUUGAAAUAGACUUAUUUCACUUAGCACAUUAUUUUUGAGUUUACCCAUGUUGAAACAUGUAUCAGUACUUCAUUCCUUUUUGUUACCAAGUAAUAUUGUAUUAUUGAAUCCAUCUACUACGUUUUAUUUAUUCAUUUAUCACCUGAUGGACAUUUGGGUUGGUUCCAAUUGGGGCUAUUUGAAUAAUGCUGUACAAGCUCUUGUACAAACAAUGUAUUUGCAAUUCUCUUUGAGUAUAUAUAUAUAUGGAGUGAGAUUGCUUGGUAAUAUGGUAACUAAGUUUUUGAGGAACUGCCAAACUUUGGGUAUCUUUCUCCCAUUGAAUUUUCUAGAUUUUCCCUCUAAUAAUUUGUUAGUGGUAAAACAAAUUUUGUUGAAAAGUAGUGUUGAUGUCUUGAUUAUUGUAUUUAAAGCAUAAUGUUAUUUUAUAUCUGUCUAUUGCAUGAAAUCAUAGUCUCUCAAAAAUUGAGAAUGAAAUUUCAUUCAGUCUUCACAUCUUUAUCGCCAAACAGAGGUAGAUACCAGAGUAAGGGACUCAAACACUGAUGUCAACAAAGCUUAAAUAGAGGAAAGACGUAAAGGUUUGAAAGGUGAAAACAGAUAUAUAUUUAAUUUAUCUUCCAGAUCAUUGUCUAGUUUCCUUGGCAAGAUGGUUAAAUAAAAGCUAGGAUUGGAAGGAUAAACAGAACUCUUUGUCGCCUUAAAGAAGUUGAUAUGUGAACAAACACACAGCAUGGUCCUAUUCAUAAAUGAAGUCAACGGAAG